RNAcentral lists this ribosomal RNA (254 nucleotides) under uncultured bacterium. RNAcentral's name for it is "partial 16S ribosomal RNA". It matches the Rfam family "Bacterial small subunit ribosomal RNA", at positions 524 to 776 of the family's 1533-position model. The record is from RNAcentral.
CACGUAGGGGGCGAGCGUUGUCCGGAUUUAUUGGGCGUAAAGAGCUCGUAGGCGGCUCAGUAAGUCGGGUGUGAAAACUCCAGGCUCAACCUGGAGACGCCACCUGAUACUGCUGUGGCUAGAGUCCGGUAGGGGAGCAUGGAAUUCCUGGUGUAGCGGUGAAAUGCGCAGAUAUCAGGAGGAACACCAGUGGCGAAGGCGGCUCACUGGCCCGGUACUGACGCUGAGGUGCGAAAGCGUGGGGAGCAAACAGG